RNAcentral lists this ribosomal RNA (441 nucleotides) under uncultured bacterium. RNAcentral's name for it is "partial 16S ribosomal RNA". It matches the Rfam family "Bacterial small subunit ribosomal RNA", at positions 338 to 795 of the family's 1533-position model. The record is from RNAcentral.
CCUACGGGAGUCAGCAGUGGGGGAUAUUGCACAAUGGGGGGAACCUUGAUGCAGCGACGCCGCGUGGGUGAAGGAGUGCUUCGGCAUGUAAAGCCCUAUCGGCAGGGAAGAAGCAAGACGGUACCUGACUAAGAAGCCCCGGCUAACUACGUGCCAGCAGCCGCGGUAAUACGUAGGGGGCGAGCGUGAUCCGGAUUCACUGGGUGUAAAGGUAGCGUCGACGGCCAUGCAAGCCAGGGGUGAAAGCCCGGGGCCCAACCCCGGGACUGCCCUUGGAACUGUGCGGCUAGAGUGCGGGAGGGGCAGGCGGAAUUCCUGGGGGAGGGGUGAAAUGCGGAGAUAUCAGGAGGAACACAGGCGGCGGAGGCGGCCGGCUGGACCGCGACUGACGUUGGGGCUCGAAAGCGUGGGGAGCGAACAGGAUUAGAUACCCCAGUAGUC